UACGUAGGUGGCAAGCGUUGUCCGGAUUUAUUGGGUUUAAAGGGUGCGUAGGCGGCCCUGUAAGUCAGUGCUGAAAUACCCCCGGCUUAACCGGGGGGGUGGCAUUGAUACUGCAGGGCUUGAGUACAGAUGAGGUAGGCGGAAUUGACGGUGUAGCGGUGAAAUGCAUAGAUAUCGUCAAGAACACCGAUAGCGAAGGCAGCUUACUGGGCUGUAACUGACGCUGAUGCACGAAAGUGUGGGGAUCAAACAGG
Molecule: ribosomal RNA, 254 nt
Filed under: uncultured bacterium
Lineage: Bacteria
Description: partial 16S ribosomal RNA
Rfam family: Bacterial small subunit ribosomal RNA
Source: RNAcentral